AUAUGAUCUCCUGCUGUCACUCCAUCGCCUUCCCUCCCAGCAAGCUUGAGAUCCUCUCCCCCACAUGGAAUCUUUGAACAUCCCACCUCAAAACUGUUUCGGAUGCUAGAAAUCCAUGGCUUAGAAGUUCCAGCCCUCCAUGAACCGUUGGGUUGAGGUUCUCUGGGUCCUGGGUUAAGGAUUCUGCAGCUGCUUCAGGCUGAUGAGUGAUGGCUGCCAUCGGCCUUAGAGAAUGUGGGGCAGCCCAAAGUAUGGCCUCACACUUUGCCGUCGUUCAAGUUCCAAACUCCUUAUUCUAUAGAUGAAGAAGCUGAUGUGGAAGGAGGGGAAGGCACUGGGCCGAGGAGUUAAGAAAGAGCAGCCUGACAUGUCUCAUGCACCUCCUGUGAGCUGCACGCCAGCCACCGUGUCUGGAGGAAGCUGAUGUGGAAGGAGGGGAAGGCACUGGGCCGAGGAGUUAAGAAAGAGCAGCCUGACAUGGCUCAUGCACCUCCUGUGAGCUGUGCACCAGCCACCAUGUCUGUACACCAUCACGCUGGAUCCCGCAGACAAUCCCAGCCAUUUGAGAAAGGAGGCGCUGCGGUGGGAGCAGCCACCCAACAAGCUGGUAGCACUGUGACCUCCAGGAGCCAAUGCACUGGACCCCAGGGUCUCAAAUAGCAAAGGCCAACCCAAGACCAGCGAGGCCCGGCAGCUCAGGAGGCAGGUGAAAUGGCGUGGCAGGAAGCCACAGGAAUCUCACAGAGGGGAUGAAUCAUUUCAGGCUGGAAGCAUCCUCUUACAGAAGUUUCCUUUUCACCACUUGAGAGGUAGAACAGAGUAAAUUAUUAGUAGUGCUGGAAAAGCCAGUCGCCCUCCCAUGUGAGCAAUGCCGGGAACUUCUCAGAGAGCUUUCCUAUCUGACAUUGUUCGAGACACUGGGAUGCCCUAAAAAGGUGGACAGUGAGGCUCAGCCUGUCCUGUUUCAUUAAGGAAGAAAUUGGGGCUCAGGGAGAUGAUCUGGCCUGAGGCCACACAGCCCAACCUCCAGGACUCCUGGUUUAGCACCUGGUGCCUUGGGUCUCUCUUCCCUCUGGGGCUGGAAAAGCAGGACCGGGAACUGUUUUUUGGCUUGUCUUCCAGAGAAAGAGAAUCAUUGUCUCGCCUUCUGUGUUCCACUCUCCUCCUCACUGGUGCCUUUUGUCCCCGCCUGCUCUGUGCCAGCAUUGAGCCUGGGGCUUUCCACACACCAUCUCACGAACCUCGCAAAAGCUACAUGAAGGGGGAGCGCUCAUUGGCCCAUUGUGCAGGCAAGGAAACUAAGGCUCAGAGCAGUUGAGGGUUCAAUGCCAAGACUGGACUCCAAAUGUCUGCUCUUUCCUCUCAGCUAUAAGCCUCUUGCCUUCAAGCUCUCCUGCACCGGUUAUUAAGCCAAAGCGGCAUCUGCUGUGGCCAUGUUUUGCGGGGGAGAGAAAGUCAUCGCUCAGUCUCCUUUGCUGAAAAUGGGUGUAAUGAUCAAAGUACUCCCUUCCUACAGUCCUUGGGUAGACUGAGAUCAUGGCUAGGAAACGGAGCCUGACACAUGAGCAGUCUUAUUAUUUUAUCGCCCUUGCUGCCACCGCUCCUGUUAUGUUGAUCUAACACAAGACAAAAACAGAGUCUUGAGAAUCUCAACGUGCUGUAUCCAAGGCAGGGACUGAGGGGGUUGGGCUGCUGCCACGAGGACUGGGGGGAAUUGAGGGCUCAGGGGAGGCAGGAAGAUGAAGGACUGUUAAGGUUUUACGUUUUCCGGCAGGAUUUAGUGGGAGUGGAGCCUGCAGAGGGGGUGGCACAGGGCUGGGACCAGCACGGGGCUGGAUUCCAAGCAUCCCAAAGGCCAGACCCCAGUGCCUGUGCCUCUGAGCCCGGGUCCAGCCCUGCCACCCAGGCCCCAUCUGCCUGCAUUGCCAUCUCCUUGGCUUGUUAACUCGGUCAGUCCCUGGGAUUUUAUCAGGCGCCUCUGAGGUGCCCAUUUCUGGGCAGCAGCAUUGCAGGAAGAGGAAAGGCCUGUGACAGAGCAGGGCACCAGCUCAGGUCCCAACGGGGCUGAGUUCUAGCCCAGCUCCCUCACUUCCACGCAUGGGCUCAGAACACACUGGAUCCACAAUAAAGCUUUUGAUGAAUG
RNAcentral lists this long non-coding RNA (2143 nucleotides) under Homo sapiens (human). Its description in RNAcentral is "novel transcript". Lineage: Eukaryota; Metazoa; Chordata; Mammalia; Primates; Hominidae. The record is from RNAcentral.